This 1192-nucleotide long non-coding RNA is filed under the name Bos taurus (domestic cattle). RNAcentral's name for it is "long non-coding RNA NONBTAT023820". The record is from RNAcentral. Lineage: Eukaryota; Metazoa; Chordata; Mammalia; Artiodactyla; Bovidae.
GGUUACAAGAUUGUUUUAAUCAAGGCAUCUCUGUGGUUCAUAAAUGUUUUUAUCCUUUUUAAGCUUCUUAAUUAAGAAAGUUCAUUCAGAAUGGCUUUCAUCCCAAAAAUGACAGUCUUUUCUCUCCUUUACCUGGUUUGCUAACAAAAUAUUAAUACAAAAGUGCAAAACAGGAGCUUCUCAGGAACCACGGAGAAUUCUGCACAGAAGGGAGUAGUAGACAUUCGAAACUAAUUUAACAGUAAAGUAUGUGGUUUCAUUAUUUCCCCCAAGGUUCAGAGCUCUUCUUGGGGGAGGGGAAAAGAUUUCAUUGCUGUCUUUUCUGUGAGUGCAGAUUUUUUAAAUUGUUAAUGUUUAUAGUGGUGAUCUGUGAGAGCUAUGGGGUACUUUGGAAAAGAAGAUAGAUCCUCCUCUCAAAAACAUUAAAAAUUAUCCAAGGCAAAUAUGGAUGUUCAGAGGUUUUCCAUGUGUAAAAGAAAUCUUUCUUUCCCUCAGGAGCUCUAGCUUUGCAGGAUAAUUUAUAUAGAAAAUAAGGAAUUCCAUGAGGAAAGGAUAUAAUAUUUUACAUUAGCAGAAGAAUAUGGAUAAAAAUUCUUGCCAAGAAAGGUUGGCUUCAGGGAGUCUUAGAAAAUACAAAAAACUUUUAAAUUUCAAGAAAUUCUUAGAAGUUCUGAAGAACUCAGAAAUUCUAAAACAAAGAUAUGAGAAAGAAGUAGGGGAUUUAUAAGUGUCUAUGAGGUAGAAAGAAGGACUUACAGAAUAGUGGGAAGAAACCAAACAAGUGAUUUGAUAUUACUUAAGACAUCUCCAUACUCUUUAUUGUUCUUGAAUAUAUUGUUGCUCAAUAUUUAAAUGUGUCUUGUGCUUUGUUUUCCCACCAAACUAAUAGGCAAAGAAAACAGUCAUAGAAACUGUCUACUUUCUAUCCCAAGAAAUUCAGAGAAAGACAAUAGUCAAUCUUACUUCAUAGCUAAAAUGCUGUAACAGAGUGACAAGUUCCCGUUCAAUCUCAAUGUCAGACACAUAAUAGACUUGUCCGAUAAUGGAACUUAAGUUCAAAGAUACACAUAUCAACCUCGCUGAUUAUCAUAGCUGCCACCUUCUGCAACUUUAGGAUAUCAUUCUCACUGCAGUCUAUUUGAAUAAAACUCCCUGAACUUAAACAUCAGUAGGGCUCUGAACUAUUUAAAUG